UGAGAGAGAAGAGAGUGUAGUGGUCUUACACCUACCCACUGAGUCGUUAAAACUCACUCUGGGUGGGAGCUGGUACCGGGCUGCGAACCUAGUACCUAGUACCUAUCAGCCUUAUGUCCGAUGACUUGACCACAACACCACCGCUUCUGAAAACAUUCAAACAGGGAGAAGUAUGUGUAUAAAUAUGUAAAUAGGUUCUUGGGGAAUCCCUUUAAUUUCUGACAUGUUAAUGUUGGCUUUAAUGAUGCAAAUGUCAGAAUUGCCAAAUGUUUGACAUCCGAUAGCCGUUGAUUAACAAAUCAAUGUGCUCUAGUGGUGUUGUUAAACAAAACAACCUUUAAUUAUAUAAAAAAAACUGUUUGAAAUAUUAAUAUUUGUACAUCUUAUGAUUUUAUUUAAUUCAAGUGUUUGUAGGUCAGCAUAGAUGUCUUAAGUGACUAAAAACACAUGUAUGCCAUUUUUCACCUGUUAAACCUUUCAUAUAUAUAUAUAUAUAUAUAUAUAUAUAUAUAUGUGUGUAUGUGUGUGUGUGUGUAAUUUUAUCAUUAUUAUUAGAUGUGAUAUCCCAGACACACACGCACAAAACUGAUAUUCAGUUUUAGAAUUCAUUUUAAUUUUCUAUUUUUCUGUCUAGUCCAUUUCUUUGUUUCAUUUCACAUUUUUGCCACACAUGAGAAGACACAUUAUUUGUGUAUUUUUAUUGGUUAAAUGAUUUUAUUUCAUCAAUGCAAAUCUGCAGCUACUAACAUUUGUAGAAAAAAGGUAAGCUUUUAUUUUUGCUUUUCCAUUAAAUUUUUGGUUCUUCUGUCAUGUCCGUGUUAUGACUGUUGCUGUGUGGUUUCCCCCAGUAUGUUAUCAAGGCUGUAUUACAUGUGUGUGUAUUAGUCCAAUACAGAUGAAUUUCAGGUAUCAAACGCAUACCACAGGGUUAUUAUGCUUAGAAAGUAUUACGUGCAAUUUUAUAUUUACCUGGUGCAUUUUACUUAUUAGGUAGGUGGUGACAAAUUGCAACCUGACACUUAUUAAUGAGUUCUGAAUUGAAACGCACAAUUCAUUUUUGACUGAUUUUGUUCAUGCUAAGAAUAGCUUUGAUUUCUCCUUUAAAUUACCUAAACCAAAUGGAUUUAUAAGAUAUUAAACGAGCUUCCAUUUCGUAUCAUGUCCUGAGUGAAAUAGUGUUCAAUUGUCUUGAGUUUUAGUGAGUGACAAUGAAAAUUAUUUCACAAGGGACAUAAACAUAAUUCCAAAUGGUAGCGAGUUUGAUAUCCUAUUUAUUAUCCAUAGUCGAUCUUAAUUUAUAUCGCUCAACUUGCUUGGCUGACAUUCCUGUAAGGUUGUAGUGAGCCAGUCAAUGAUGUUGUUGUUGUGUGAUAUCACUAAGUGGUACGUUCCACUUGGCAUUCUAGUGGGAUGUAUCACUUUGAUUUGUACCAAGACAUUUUAAACCAUAUGGGUAAUAAAGUGGGUUUCUACUCUGAUGAUGUAAACCAGCCAUCACUGUUACCAUGUUAUACACCUUCAGUUUUAGUGUAAAAUGUGCUGGGGUGUUAAUAAACAUCCCUUGCCUUCUUUGGGACAGGACACAGCCCAGUGGUAAAGUCCGGGCUCACCCUGGAGCAAAAAUACCUGUAGCCAAAAUAUUAGCCCAAUGGAAUUUUUAUUAGCCAUAUAUUGAAAAUGCUUUAGCCAGAAUUGUUUUACCUAGUACUGUAUAGAGUAUUUAUAUAUGAAUAUGAAAAUUGCAUCUUUUUCAAGUAAUGUGUACAAAUUGGAAUAAAUCGGAAUAACAAAACCAUGUUACCUGAUCAAAAUCAAAGACAGCAAUGAGGGUAGAGGCAGUUAAUAUAUUACUUUGAUUUUUCAGCAGGGUGGGGUGAUGCAUUAUCUGUAAAGCACUCACUUGAUGCGCGGUUGGUGUAGGAUCGAUCCCCGUUCGUGGGCCCAUUGGGCUAUUUCUCAUUCCAGGCAGUGCACCACAACUAUUUUAUCAAAGGCAUGUGGUAUGUGUUAUCCUGUCUGUGGGAUUGUGCAUAUGAAAGAUCCCUUGCUACUAAUGAAAAAAUGUCUUGUUUCCUCUGAGAAUAUAAGUCAAAUUACCAAACGUUUGACAUCCAAUAGCCAAUGAUUAUUAAUAAAUCAAUGUGCUCUAGUGGUGUCGUUAAACAAAGCAAACUACUUUUUUAACUGUAACCAUGUUAUAUACCUUCAGUGUACAGUGAACCCUCUCAAGACCGGACCCUCUGUAAACCGGAAUUCCCUCAAAACCGGACGUUUUACCGAGUCCCUUUUUAAAAACCAGGACAGAAGUUAACCUCUCUAAACCGGAUCCCUCUUAAAACCGGACAUUUGUCUUGGUGAUGAGGGUAUCCAGUUUAAAGGGGUUUCACUGCAGCUCAUUUUGAUGGGUGGGUCACUUGUUAAGUCGUGAAAUUCAAAGUGUCCAUGUAGUUAAAGACGCAGAUCAUUAAUUUGGAAGAGGUUGGAGCACUUGUUAAAUAUCAUGUUUCACUGGGCGGUUUUUGUUGUUGUUUUUUGUUUUUGAAGGUCUCGUUCAGUUUGAGGUGAUUCUUAUCUAAUGUUACUGAAUGUCUCGUUCAGUUUGAGGUGAUUCUUAUCUAAUGUUACUGAAUGUCUCGUUCAGUUUGAGGUGAUUCUUAUCUAAUGUUACUGAAUGUCUCGUUCAGUUUUUAUCAAUUAAAAUUAUUUGCAAGUAAGAGAGGAUAUUUUUCAUGAUCUUUCAUUUACAAUUCGCUGAAACUAGUACAGUGAAACCUCUGUAAACCGGAUCCUUCAUUAAACCGGACAUUUUAUACAGAAUCCCUUUUUAAAAACUAGUACAGAACAUAACCUCCUUAAACCGGAUCAUUCUUAGAACCGGACGUUUUACAGAAUCCCUUUUCAAAAGCUAGUAGAGAACGUAACCUCCUUAAACCGGAUCCUUCUUAAAACCGGACGUUUACAGAAUACCUUUUCAAAAACUAGUACAGAACGUAACCUCCUUAAACCGGAUCCUUCUUAAAACCGGACGUUUUACAGAAUCCCUUUUCAAAAACUAGUACAGAACGUAACCUCCUUAAACCGGAUCCUUAUUAAUACCGGACAUUUUACAAAAUCCCUUUUCAAAAACUAGUACAGAACGUAACCUUCCUAAACCAGAUCAUUCUUAAAACCGGACAUUUUACAGAAUCCCUUUUCAAAAAACUAGUACAGAACGUAAUUUCCUAAAUCAGAUCCUUCUUAUAACCGGACAUUUUACAGAAUCCCUUUUUAAAAACUAGUACAGAACGUAACCUUCCUAAACCAGAUCCUUCUUAAUACCCGACAUUUUACAGAAUCCCUUUUCAAAAACUAGUACAGAACGUAACCUCCUUAAACCGGAUCCUUAUUAAUACCGGACAUUUUACAGAAUCCCUUUUCAAAAACUAGUACAGAACGUAACCUUCCUAAACCAGAUCCUUCUUAAUACCCGACAUUUUACAGAAUCCCUUUUCAAAAACUAGUACAGAACAUAACCUCCUUAAACCGGAUCCUUAUUAAUACCGGACAUUUUACAGAAUCCCUUUUCAAAAACUAGUACAGAACGUAACCUUCCUAAACCAGAUCAUUCUUAAAACCGGACAUUUUAAAGAAUCCCUUUUCAAAAACUAGUACAGAACGUAACCUUCCUAAACCAGAUCCUUCUUAAUACCCGACAUUUUACAGAAUCCCUUUUUUAAAACUAGUACAGACAUAACCUCCUUAAACCGGAUCCUUCUUAAAACUGGACAUUUUACAGAAUCCCUUUUUAGAAACCAGUACAGAACGUAACCUUCCUAAACCUCUUAAAACCAGACAAUUGUCUUGGUCCCAAGGGUGUCCGUUUUAGAAGGGUUUCGCUGUAGUUAAAUUUGCUACAAUGCAUUGUAAAUUGGUGGAAGGAACUUGUUGGCAAGUAGCAAUGUCCAUACAGGAAGAGAAAAAACCCUCCGAACAUUCCUUUUUCUGUACAUACUUCACCAAAUGUGCCUGUCAUGAAAAUAAUUGUUAUUUUGUAACUUUCUCUAUAUAUGUCAUCAUUUUAAAGAGGACACUUAAUACGUGUAAACUUGGCGAAGUCACUUUUGGCUGCCUGUGUUCCUUUUUAAUGAUUGAAUCACUGGGCCGUACCUUGAUCAAAAUCCGGGGGGGGGGGGGGGGGGGCACUACUUUUUAUAAGCAAAAGAAACACUACAAAUUAAAUCCUGAGAUGUGUAUGCCAUUUUCUGGAUUUAAAAAAAUAGUUAGAUUCACAGGGAGGCAACGCCCCCCCCACACCCCACACUCCAGAGUGUGUGGCCCUGAAUCAUUACUGUGGUAGAUUCGUCCCAGACUCGUGUUCUUUCCUGACAGUAUUGGUAGAGGUGGGAGGCAAUUCUUUUUAUUGAGCAAUCCCUAUAUGUAAUAUUGUCGAGAUAAAUUACUAUGUACACUGACCAAAAAUAUCAUAGCUUUUUGGGAUGGACUUACUUUUACACUAGUUGUGAUCAGCAAAGGAAUGGUGUAUUGUUUAAUGUUACUUGUUAUUUUAUUUUCUAGUUGAUGGUUUUUUGGGGGGUUUUUUAAACAUUUCUAAGAUAAUUUUUGUUGUCAAAAUAAGAAAUUAAUUAUUUAAGAAUGUAUGCUUUGGUGUGUAGAUUUUGUAGGCAAUACGGCAUUCGACAUGUGUGAGCCUGCUACCCAUAGAAAAACGAUAAAGUUGUGUAAUGAAAUGGUUAAUUUUGUACAUUUUUGGCUUUUUUUAGGAUUGCAGAAUAAAUAAAAUAACUGGUUACUGUGUUAAGAUGCAUAUUUUGGCGUUAUCCUGCUCGAGUCGAAUGGGGAAUGCCACUUUAACACUCACAAGAUAAAGCCGAUAUCUUAAGACGGUAACUGGUUAUUCUCUUUAUAUAUUCACAGAAAAAAGUUCUUAUGCACGAAAUAAAACGGUCUCCAACCAACUGCAAAAUAAAGGUUGAAAUUUGACAAACAUGAUAAUAUCAACGUAAUUGGGCAUAUUGUCUCAAAAUGUUUACUAAUGACAGAAAUCAUUUGAUUUUGCUCACGUUAAACAUAUACGUUGUACAAUACAUGCACAGAAACUUUUAUUUCAUGAAUAUAUACAUCGACCGUUUACUAUUUGGGAGGAUAAAAAUAAUAUUACACGAUUGUCAUAACAACAGUGCAUGUACCUUUUUGUAGGUGAAGUAAAAAUGAUAACAUAUCA
This 5221-nucleotide long non-coding RNA is filed under the name Gigantopelta aegis. RNAcentral describes it as "uncharacterized LOC121375401". Lineage: Eukaryota; Metazoa; Mollusca; Gastropoda; Neomphalida; Peltospiridae. The record is from RNAcentral.